UAAUACAGAGGGUGCGAGCGUUAAUCGGAAUGACUGGGCGUAAAGCGCGCGUAGGCGGUUAUACAAGUUGGGUGUGAAAUCCCUGGGCUUAACCUAGGAAUUGCAUUCAAAACUAUAUGACUUGAGUGAAGUAGAGGUAAGUGGAAUUUCCGGAGUAGCGGUGAAAUGCGUAGAUACCGGAAGGAACACCAGUGGCGAAGGCGACUUACUGGGCUUUAACUGACGCUGAGGUGCGAAAGCGUGGGGAGCAAACAGG
Molecule: ribosomal RNA, 256 nt
Filed under: uncultured bacterium
Lineage: Bacteria
Description: partial 16S ribosomal RNA
Rfam family: Bacterial small subunit ribosomal RNA
Source: RNAcentral